CCCGGGCCUUGUACACACCGCCCGUCACACCAUGGGAGUUGGCUUUACCUGAAGACGGUGCGUUAACCCGAAAGGGAGACAGCCGGCCACGGUAGGGUCAGCGACUGGGGUG
This 112-nucleotide ribosomal RNA is filed under the name uncultured bacterium. RNAcentral describes it as "partial 16S ribosomal RNA". It matches the Rfam family "Bacterial small subunit ribosomal RNA", at positions 1373 to 1482 of the family's 1533-position model. The record is from RNAcentral.